UCGCUGCUGUCAGUGUCAUUUCAUCAGAAUUUGUCGUUUCUAGCAGUUUUUAUUAUUAUUUUUGUAUUAUUAUUGUUUACUAUAUUUAUAAUUAUAUAUAUUUUAAUGGGAAAUCAAAUUGAGUGAACAGGAGAGGAUUAACAAAAACUCUUUCACUGUCUAUCAUUUUAAUUUAUAUGAACCAUGUGUUUUAGAUGUUGCCCGGCGUGUGAUUUCAUGCGUGGGAUUUGUGGUGGACUUUGCGGCGGGAUCACAGGCCUAUGUGGGGCAACUAUAUGCUUGACCAUAUGUAUAUUCGCUUUGUUUAAUUUUAUGGUCAUAUGCUCCGUUGUUGUAUUCUAUAUGGGCCCCGAGGCAAUCAUAGGCAGAACAAUUUUCACUACACCCUCGACUACCACGUAAAUCACAUUUUUACAACGUUUGAUGGGAAAAAUUGGAACUUUAACAUCGAUAUAGGCAAUUCUGAUGACGGUCCAGGGCGUGGUGGUUGCUGCAUGUGCUGCAAUCGGGGGUGUGAAUGUCUUCAUGGGUGCACUAGUGGGCUAUGUGGGGGGCUUUUGGGUGUCUGCGGUGGGGGGCUAUGUUGUGCCAUAGCGGGAAUAUUCUUGAUCUCCGUCACAAUUAUAUGCACCAUCGUUUAUUACGCACUGAGAAUCGAUUUAGUACUAACAACAGAAACGUAAAUACUCUUGUUAUAAGUUUCGAUCGGAAAUUUUGAACUUUUAUUGUGUGAUUAUUUUUUUUGUUGAGACAUUACCUCUUUGGAAUCAUCAUUUGGAAGCUUAUUUGUUUCUCUACGACCGCAUUCUAAACGAGCAUACCACGUGAUAUUGGUUGGUAUAGAUGGAGCAUGUUCUAAGUAAUCCUGUACAAGCAAUAGUCGUGCUGGAAUGGUGUUUUUAUGCUUAGUAUAGACCGUUGUGAUGACGGUCCGGGCAGUUAUAGAUGUUGCGCGUGCUGUGUGCGGCUAUGCGAGUGUCUUCACGGAGCCACUACUGGCAUUUGCGGGGGGCUUGCCGGUAUCUGCGGUGGUGCUGUGUGUUGCGCCGUAGCUGGUAUCAUUUUGAUCGCCGUUGCGGUCGUAACUGCCAUAACUAUGUUUGCAUUGAACAUCGACAGCAUACUGACUAGCCCUAAAACUACUACUUAGUAUGUCGUGAAUUACAUCGUGUAAGUGCGUUAUCACCUAUUUCAUAUUUCCUUUAAAUCGUUAUUUUUGUUAUUACAAAGUAUUUAGCGUAUGUAUUUAGCUAGUACCGAUAUUGUUUACGUGUCAAUUUUAAAGCCAAGAUAUGAACUUGUCUUUAAUUCAUAGAUGGAAUUAAAGAUCAAGGUAAAAUUCGUGUUAUAGGGAGGUAAAUUCUAUAGCAGGUGACAGCAAGUAGAAUGGAAAACACUCCAAUGGAGUAUAGAAGAUGUUCAUAUGGUUCGAAUCAACAAUGGUUGAUUCGAACCGUAUGAACAUCUUGUAACAUGAAUAAUUAGUUGAAUGUUAUUACUUCCUGUUGUUAGUUUGAAAACUAUAUAAUGUACUCCAUUAACGAACUUAGAUGACUUGGAUGAUUCUUCUUAUGUUUUAGUAACAUUAAUGUUAACUGCAAUGAUUAUACGAAUAACAAUUGUCAAAAUUUUAACAUUGAAAAAUUUAAAUAUUAAAUUUCCACAAUAUCUGCGUGCCAAUAUCUAAAGUUCCUAAUAUUUGGUAUGAUAUAUCCAUCCCUUUCUGGCAAACUGAUAAUUACAUAGGCAAGAAAAUAAUGGCUACAAAUUUUACACGCAAUUUUUGGAACGGCUUUGCUCAUUCGUAUACAUUCCAUUUUAGUAUUAUAAAUUAGUUGGUUAUUUGUGAGUUAGAAUGACAUAUUUGUGAGAACUUAAUUCUAUCGCCACAGACAAAAAAUAUAUGGAAAUUGAGCUAGCAGCGCCUCAGUAGUACGUAAAAGAAAUAAUUAUUUUUUUAUAAAAGAUUUGUUGUUUUAGAAAUGUAUUGCUCUCGUAAAAUAUCAUGCUAACCUCACAGCUUGUUAUCCUAAUACCGAACCUGUACGAGCUGUGUUGUGUGACAUUUGAUUAUGGUGUUUUAUUAAGUGAAUGCGUUUACAUAUUUUAUUUUUUUAAAAGGCAACUAUUCUAUUUUUAACGAUAUAUAAAUUGUUUGUAACAGUAUACUUCUACUGUAUUUACAGUAUACGACUAUAACUGACCCCAAUCGUGCCUUCACUGGUGUAGCUGCCACGCCACGGGCUGGGCACGGGCACUUAUAUGUACACUAACUGGGACGUGCCCAAUUAUUAAAUAAUUAGUAGUAUCAACAAAGCUGGCUUACAGCGAGUUUUUGUCUGUACUCAAUUUUUGUUUGAGGUGUAGUUUUCAAUGGCUAAAUACUAUGGCGGGCACAAUGAACCAUCGUUACUUUUGCAUAGCAAAUAUUUUUAAUAUUUUUUUUUUGUACAAUUAUUUUCUCUUCUGAGAUGAGGAGACUAUUAUCGUUUUAUAUUGUGUGUAAAGAUCUCUAUCGCCAGAUACCAGGGCCGUGUCUCUUCAGGAGUCUAACAAAAUAUCGGUAUAGGUCAUACACUUAAAUAUAUAUCAACCUCAGUAUCGGUGUAAUUGUUUUAAAUAGUGACAAUAAAAGUAAAAUUUGUAUAUAAUUGUAUAUAUCCGCUCUCACUCCAUAAAUCAGACAUGUAGGCCACAAAUAUCCUGGAGUUCAUGUCGAUAGUUUAGCAGCUGUGGAGGACUGUCCGUUAGUGUUUCCCAAUGUUAGGGACACCAAGGGAUCUCUUUUCCCGGUAACAAUUCCUGCCACGGCCUUGGCACAGCUUUGAUCUGUGGGGAUGUAUCCCCAAUAAUUAAUAAUAAAGCCCUAUUUUUUAUUAUAUUUUUUUACAUUUAUUUAAUUAUUUAUAAUAUUUUUAUAGUUUUUUUUAUAUAGUAUUGUUUAGUGUUAUUUAUUGUAAAUAAAUAAA
Molecule: long non-coding RNA, 2969 nt
Organism: Plodia interpunctella (Indianmeal moth)
Lineage: Eukaryota; Metazoa; Arthropoda; Insecta; Lepidoptera; Pyralidae
Exons: 5
Source: RefSeq, a predicted model, not a curated record